Molecule: signal recognition particle RNA, 297 nt
Filed under: Capsicum annuum
Lineage: Eukaryota; Viridiplantae; Streptophyta; Magnoliopsida; Solanales; Solanaceae
Description: Plant signal recognition particle RNA
Rfam family: Plant signal recognition particle RNA
Source: Rfam by way of RNAcentral
GCCGAGCUCAGUAAUGUGGGCUUGUAACCCAAAUGGGGGCAUUAAUGUGGUGGAUGUUGGGCUGUCUCAGAUGGUUGGACUUGGUGGGCUAGCAGCCCUAUCCAAGCACUGAGUUGGAUCAGGGGAUCCUGAUCGAAGGAAUGGGCUUCUUGAUUCCUAAAGUGGGGUGGACUGCGCGAGGCUGGUUUCACAGAGCAACGAACAGCUCCCACUCUGUGCAGUGGAAGGACAACAGGCUAGAGUCUGUCAAGUUCAGUAACACGCCUGAUGGGCUGCUCCAAUUAAACCACCACUUUU